AAAAAAGGUAAGCUACUAAGAGCGAAUGGUGGAUGCCUUGACUGGUAAAGGCGAUGAAGGACGUACUAGACUGCGAUAAGCUACGGGGAGCUGUCAAGAAGCUUUGAUCCGUAGAUUUCCGAAUGGGGCAACCCAAUGUAUAGAGAUAUACAUUACCUAUAUAGGAGCGAACGAGGGGAAUUGAAACAUCUUAGUACUCUCAGGAAAAGAAAUCAAUAGAGAUUGCGUCAGUAGCGGCGAGCGAAAGCGCAAGAGGGCAAACCCAGUGCUUGCACUGGGGGUUGUAGGACUGCAAUGUGCAAGAGGUAAGUUUAGCAGAACAUUCUGGAAAGUAUAACCAUAGAGGGUGAUAGUCCCGUAUGCGAAAAACAAACCUUAGCUAGCAGUAUCCUGAGUAGGGCGGGACACGAGGAAUCCUGUCUGAAUCCGGGUCGACCACGAUCCAACCCUAAAUACUAAUACCAGAUCGAUAGUGCACAAGUACCGUGAGGGAAAGGUGAAAAGAACUGAGGUGAUCAGAGUGAAAUAGAACCUGAAACCAUUUGCUUACAAUCAUUCAGAGCCCUAUGUAGCAAUACAGGGUGAUGGACUGCCUUUUGCAUAAUGAGCCUGCGAGUUGUGGUGUCUGGCAAGGUUAAGCAAACGCGAAGCCGUAGCGAAAGCGAGUCUGAAUAGGGCGCUUAGUCAGAUGCUGCAGACCCGAAACGAAGUGAUCUAUCCAUGAGCAAGUUGAAGCUAGUGUAAGAACUAGUGGAGGACUGAACCCAUAGGCGUUGAAAAGCCCCGGGAUGACUUGUGGAUAGGGGUGAAAGGCCAAUCAAACUUCGUGAUAGCUGGUUCUCUCCGAAAUAUAUUUAGGUAUAGCGUUGUGUCGUAAUAUAAGGGGGUAGAGCACUGAAUGGGCUAGGGCAUACACCAAUGUACCAAACCCUAUCAAACUCCGAAUACCUUAUAUGUAAUCACAGCAGUCAGGCGGCGAGUGAUAAAAUCCGUCGUCAAGAGGGAAACAACCCAG
Molecule: ribosomal RNA, 1015 nt
Filed under: Campylobacter jejuni
Lineage: Bacteria; Pseudomonadati; Campylobacterota; Epsilonproteobacteria; Campylobacterales; Campylobacteraceae
Description: partial 23S ribosomal RNA
Rfam family: Bacterial large subunit ribosomal RNA
Source: RNAcentral